UACGUAGGGUGCGAGCGUUAAUCGGAAUUACUGGGCGUAAAGCGUGCGCAGGCGGUUUUGUAAGCCAGAUGUGAAAUCCCCGGGCUCAACCUGGGAAUGGCAUUUGGGACUGCAAGGCUGGAGUUUGGCAGAGGGAGGUGGAAUUCCACGUGUAGCGGUGAAAUGCGUAGAGAUGUGGAGGAACACCAAUGGCGAAGGCAGCCUCCUGGGCCAAUACUGACACUCAUGCACGAAAGCGUGGGGAGCAAACAGG
This 253-nucleotide ribosomal RNA is filed under the name uncultured bacterium. RNAcentral's name for it is "partial 16S ribosomal RNA". It matches the Rfam family "Bacterial small subunit ribosomal RNA", at positions 524 to 776 of the family's 1533-position model. The record is from RNAcentral.